AAGUAAAAGUCGUANCAAGGUUUCCGUAGGUGAACCUGCGGAAGGAUCAUUACCUAGAGUUUGUAGACUUCGGUCUGCUACCUCUUACCCAUGUCUUUUGAGUACCUUCGUUUCCUCGGCGGGUCCGCCCGCCGAUUGGACAACAUUCAAACCCUUUGCAGUUGCAAUCAGCGUCUGAAAAAACAUAAUAGUUACAACUUUCAACAACGGAUCUCUUGGUUCUGGCAUCGAUGAAGAACGCAGCGAAAUGCGAUAAGUAGUGUGAAUUGCAGAAUUCAGUGAAUCAUCGAAUCUUUGAACGCACAUUGCGCCCCUUGGUAUUCCAUGGGGCAUGCCUGUUCGAGCGUCAUUUGUACCUUCAAGCUCUGCUUGGUGUUGGGUGUUUGUCUCGCCUCUGCGUGUAGACUCGCCUUAAAACAAUUGGCAGCCGGCGUAUUGAUUUCGGAGCGCAGUACAUCUCGCGCUUUGCACUCAUAACGACGACGUCCAAAAGUACAUUUUUACACUCUUGACCUCGGAUCAGGUAGGGA
RNAcentral lists this ribosomal RNA (530 nucleotides) under Epicoccum sp. JJP-2009a. Its description in RNAcentral is "eukaryotic LSU rRNA". The stretch from base 196 to 349 matches the Rfam family "5.8S ribosomal RNA". The record is from RNAcentral. Lineage: Eukaryota; Fungi; Ascomycota; Dothideomycetes; Pleosporales; Didymellaceae.